AACGCAUAUUGCACUCUCUGGUAAUCCGGGGAGUAUGCCUGUUUGAGGGUCAGUAAAAAUAAAAAAUCUAUCAUGAAUCCUUUUUUUAAUUUAUUUUAUUAAAUCGGAACAUGGAAUUGGAUCUUUCAAAAAUUUCAUUAUUUUCGAUGAUCUUAAAUUUAUGUUAUAUGGCUAUAUAUAAACUGAACCAAAAAGAGCAAUUAUUUAUAAUUAAUCUCAUUUAGUGAUGUUUUAUUAAGCCAAAUAUGAUUUAUUUUUGAUAUUUAAUAUUAAAAUAAAUCAUAAACAUAUUUUAAAAAUGACCUCAAAUCAGGUAAGAGUACCCGCUGAACUUAA
This 336-nucleotide unclassified non-coding RNA is filed under the name uncultured Entrophospora. Its description in RNAcentral is "uncultured Claroideoglomus sequence contains ITS2". The record is from RNAcentral. Lineage: Eukaryota; Fungi; Glomeromycota; Glomeromycetes; Entrophosporales; Entrophosporaceae.